GAUGAAGGUUUUCGGAUCGUAAAGCUCUGUUGUUAGGGAAGAACAAGUGCAAGAGUAACUGCUUGCACCUUGACGGUACCUAACCAGAAAGCCACGGCUAACUACGUGCCAGCAGCCGCGGUAAUACGUAGGUGGCAAGCGUUGUCCGGAAUUAUUGGGCGUAAAGGGCUCGCAGGCGGUUUCUUAAGUCUGAUGUGAAAGCCCCCGGCUCAACCGGGGAGGGUCAUUGGAAACUGGGAAACUUGAGUGCAGAAGAGGAGAGUGGAAUUCCACGUGUAGCGGUGAAAUGCGUAGAGAUGUGGAGGAACACCAGUGGCGAAGGCGACUCUCUGGUCUGUAACUGACGCUGAGGAGCGAAAGCGUGGGGAGCGAACAGGAUUAGAUACCCUGGUAGUCCACGCCGUAAACGAUGAGUGCUAAGUGUUAGGGGGUUUCCGCCCCUUAGUGCUGCAGCUAACGCAUUAAGCACUCCGCCUGGGGAGUACGGUCGCAAGACUGAAACUCAAAGGAAUUGACGGGGGCCCGCACAAGCGGUGGAGCAUGUGGUUUAAUUCGAAGCAACGCGAAGAACCUUACCAGGUCUUGACAUCCUCUGACAACCCUAGAGAUAGGGCUUUCCCUUCGGGGACAGAGUGACAGGUGGUGCAUGGUUGUCGUCAGCUCG
Molecule: ribosomal RNA, 664 nt
Filed under: Bacillus altitudinis
Lineage: Bacteria; Bacillati; Bacillota; Bacilli; Caryophanales; Bacillaceae
Description: bacterial SSU rRNA
Rfam family: Bacterial small subunit ribosomal RNA
Source: RNAcentral